AGGUGCGCCAGAUGCUCUUCGACCUCGAGUCCGCCUACAACGCCUUCAACCGAUUCCUGCACUCCUGAGAGCGCCAAAAAACGGCAAAAAACAGCAAAAAACGGCAAAAACCAGUACAAACCAGUUCGGACCAGUCCAAACUGGAACCUCCAGAAGUUUGGAAUAAAUGGGAAAAGAAAAAAUCUCAAAAUUUGUGCAAAAUUCCUUUAUUUUCUCGGCGUUAUUGGAUCAAAUGGGGAGCCAGUCCCAGUUCAAACCAGUCCAAACCAGUCCAAACCAGUUCAAACCAGUUCAGACCAGUGCAGACCAGUCCAAACUGGAACCAGCAGAAAUUUGGAAUAAAUGGGAGGGAAAAAAAUCCCAAAAAUCUGUGAAAAAUUCCUUUAUUUUCUUAUAGAUAUUGGAUCAAACUGGGAGCCAUUUCCAAUUCAGACCAGUCCAAACCAGUUCAGACAAAUAAAACCAGUUCAAACCAGUUCAGACCAGUCCAGACCAGUUCAAAUUGGAGCCAGCAGAAGUUUGGAAUAAAUGGGAGGAGAAAAACCCCCAAAAUCUCCAAAAUCUGUUUAAAAUUCUGUUAUUUUCUUGUUGUUUCUUGGAGUCAUUCCCAUUUUAAACCAGUCCAAACCAGUAAAAACCAGUUCAGACCAGUCCAAACCAGUUCAGACCAGUCCAAACUGGAACUUCCAGAAAGUCGGAAUAAAUGGGACGAGAAAAAUCCCAAAAUUUGUGCAAAAUUCCUUUAUUUUCUUGUUGUUAUUGGAUCAAAUGGGGAGCCAGUCCCAGUUCAAACCAGUCCAAACCAGUUCAGACCAAUAAAACCAGUUCAAACCAGUUCAGACCAGUCCAGACCAGUUCAGACCAGUCCAAAUUGGAGCCAGCAAAAGUUUGGAAUGAAUGGGAGGAGAAAAACCCCAAAAAUCUCCAAAAUUUGUGAAAAAUUCCUUU
This 948-nucleotide long non-coding RNA is filed under the name Junco hyemalis (dark-eyed junco). Its description in RNAcentral is "lncRNA (ENSJHYG00000017086.1)". The record is from RNAcentral. Lineage: Eukaryota; Metazoa; Chordata; Aves; Passeriformes; Passerellidae.